Molecule: ribosomal RNA, 263 nt
Filed under: uncultured bacterium
Lineage: Bacteria
Description: partial 16S ribosomal RNA
Rfam family: Bacterial small subunit ribosomal RNA
Source: RNAcentral
GAUGGCGACCGGCGCACGGGUGAGUAACACGUAUCCAACCUGCCGAUGACUCGGGAUAGCCUUUCGAAAGAAAGAUUAAUACCCGAUGGCAUAGUUCUUCCGCAUGGUGGAACUAUUAAAGAAUUUCGGUCAUCGAUGGGAUGCGUUCCAUUAGGUUGUUGGCGGGUAACGGCCCACCAAGCCUUCGAUGGAUAGGGUUCUGAGAGGAAGGUCCCCCCACAUUGGAACUGAGACACGGUCCAAACUCCUACGGAGGCAGCAUG